Molecule: transfer RNA, 83 nt
Filed under: Symbiochloris sp. SG-2018
Lineage: Eukaryota; Viridiplantae; Chlorophyta; Trebouxiophyceae; Trebouxiales; Trebouxiaceae
Also listed under: 1 other name
Description: tRNA-Tyr
Rfam family: tRNA
About the family: Transfer RNA (tRNA) molecules are approximately 80 nucleotides in length. Their secondary structure includes four short double-helical elements and three loops (D, anti-codon, and T loops).
Source: RNAcentral
GGGUCGAUGCCCGAGUGGCUAAAGGGGGGAGAUUGUAAAUCUCUUGGCUGACGCCUACGCUGGUUCGAAUCCAGCUCGGCCCA